Xiphophorus couchianus (Monterrey platyfish) is the source of this 1532-nucleotide long non-coding RNA. RefSeq lists it as uncharacterized. The record is from RefSeq and is a predicted model, not a curated record. NCBI's taxonomy places the organism in Eukaryota, Metazoa, Chordata, Actinopteri, Cyprinodontiformes, Poeciliidae. The transcript has 2 exons.
UGUGUGGGGGGGCGGGGGGGUUGUAAUGUCAGACAAUGCAGAUUCAUUUACACAAAUGUACAUCAUAAAAUCUUUGGGCAUAUUUUCUAUAUCAGUUAUAAAUAUUUUAAUCAUGCAAACAUUACUUGUAAAGCAAUUCCUAAUAUUUUGAUCAGAAUUUAACUGAAGAUGUUGGUUCGGUCAACAUUAUUCUUAUUCGCCGUGUUCUGCAGAGAAUGGUGAAGCUGAUACGUUUAUAUGUGCUGCAUUACGAGUAAAUAUAACAAUUUAUUACAAAUUAAGAACUGUCAUAAUGCAUGGGAAAAGAAAAGAAAGAAUAAUCAUCAACACAUGAAUCUUUCGCUAGUUUAGCGAUAGCAAUGCUAACGCAAGACUGUCUUUGGAAGUUUGCAGGCUUUGUUUUUUUUUUUUCUUUCGCUUGCAAAUAAAAUGUUAAAAUUUUAAUCAAAUAAAUUAUAUUGUAAAUGUCUGUAAACGUUAAUGAUGGUUAAAUUCUCGCAGGUAACUGAUUGUGUCGCUUCUUUGAAACGUUUGAUCUGAUUUGUUCUACAUUGUGUUCAAAAGAUAACAGUAGCUAUUUCACUAUUUUAAUUAUGACUAAAACUCAUAGUUAUGACUUCCUGCUAGGCUUUUACUUGAUCUUUUUUGGCAGAAAUGUUGUUCCGCAUGUAUGGGUUGUAUUAGGAAUCUAUAGAAACUUAAAGAACCAACCUAGAUUAGUAAUAGACCAAGUUUCAGAUUUGGAGCAGAAAUGAGAGUUUCUAUCCAGGAUUAGCUUGUUCUUCAACACGUUUGCUAAAGUCAACUCUACUUAGCUAACUUAGCUAACUAAGUUAGCUAAGUAGCUAACUUAGCUUCUUAACCCUGAGUGAGGUUCUAGCUCUGGUCGUCAGGGAAAAGGCUUACAUUCGACCUAGUUAGUAGAUAUAAAAACUCAGCUUAUAUUUCAAUAAUGUUUUAUCCCAUAAUCAAAGUCUAAUGGUCUUUUGUCUCAUUUUUAACUUAAUACAAAGAAGAUGUACCAUCAUUGCACUAAUCACCAUUUUAAAACUGGUUGUAAUUUGAUCAAAAUACUCUCGGUGUGAAACUGUGUAAAUUGCUCCACUGAUUUUUACGGUUAAUUUUUAAACUCAUUUUAUUAUUGUAAAAGUCUGCCAUGUUGAAAAGAAACAAGCAUGUCUAUGUGCUGAAACUCUGGUCAGUGUUUUCUCUGAUUAGUUAAAUACGUCUGACUGGUCUGAGUGAGACAAAUUAGAAGUAAUUAUUGGACUUCACAGCAGUGGGAGCCUGUGCUCAGCAGAGUGUGUGUGGGUGUGUGUCCUCAUCCCUGAUCGUUGCGCAUUACUUUCCUCUGAACGAUUUAAUAUUUCAGAUUAACCGCAGGGCGACGAUUGCUGUAUGCCUCUGAUUGAAAACAGAAAAGUGGACUGGCACAGAACCAUUGUCCAUGAUGGUGUUGAUCUUAUGUAAAUCAUUUACAUCCUGCUGCUGUUUCUCACAUACUGAAUGCUAAUAAAGCAUAACCACCACAG